UAAUAAAUGGGACAGGCAUAUGCGAGGACGACUCAUUUGACAGGUGGAGGUCCUUCCCGUUUCCCAAAAUGGAGACUGUGUGAUGAAACUGAGGACUGUUGCAGGACAGAGGAGACUGUGGACUAAUUCUGCAGCGAGACUGAGGGCAGCAACAAAACGGAGCGCUGCAGCAAGGCGGAGAUUCUGAAACAAGAAGAAGAUGAGACAACAAUAGCGUGCGCGUUUCUUUUUGUGAUUUCUAGUCGCAAAUGUUACAAUGACAAAUCUCAAUGUUACAAUCUCAGAUCGCUGCACCAAAGUGGAGUAUAAAAGAGCAGGAAGCAGGUCCAAUUUGAAAUGAGAGGAGACAGAGCUGCAAGAAAACAGAUCUCGGCAGCAAAUUGGAGACUACGGAAAGUUUCUUUAAAAAAUGUAAUCGAGAGGUUACUGAGAGCACCAAGAAAACGGACUGCUACAGCCAAUUGGAACCUGUGGAGCACAGGCCUUAUAGCUAUCAUUUAUUUUUGAACCCAAUCGAUGGGUCAAGUCAUUCGUAGAUGUAAACAAAAACAAAAAAAGUAAAAAUACGAAAUGGGUAAAAUAGUUACUUUAAUAAUCAAAUGUGUACGAUUUUCAAGUUUUUUUUAUUUUUCGUAAGUCAGUUAUAAUUAAUUAGACAUUAAAUUUAAGAAAAUGUGCAUUUUUAUUUUACAAUGAAAAAAAUGGUUUAUUCACUAUAAAUCAAAUAACCAGUUACAUAUUUUAAACAAAUAAAAAUGGAUGAAUACAUUUUAAUGAACCAAUUGUAGGAAGAAACCGCAAAAUGAAUGAAACAAAUACUAAAUAAUGUAGCGCGCUGUAUGUGGCCAUACUUUGCCUACCGUUGUCUUGUACUGUGAUUCCCACAGAGGGAAACACAGUAUGUGUGUGUUAUUCCUGAAAGCAGCAGAGUACGAUAACAAGAAUUAUAAACAUAUUUAUGAACGCCUUCUCUGCAACCUUUUUUAUUUUGUUGCAAAGGGGCUACAACCUGAUUUGUGCCAUGUAGUUGAAAGGGCCAGGGGGCUUCAUGUGAGCUCGCUAGUCAGGGACCCAAAUUAUUCCCACAGCCUGUUUUUACUGCUGAUUGGCGUUAUGCUUCAUAAUGAACCGUUCCCCACAGUCAGGUCUCUGAGGUUGUGCCGGUUUAUUUAUUUGUGCUCGGAAACUGGACGGAGGAUCAAGGAAAUGAGCAGUUAGGAGACCAUUUGUACAUCCGGCCGUACCAAUCUGAAUCUGCAUCCAAUCAGUUUAUUUAUCCUCCCCUUUGCAGGCCUGUGUGUGUGUGUGUGUGUGUGUGUGUGUGUGUGUCAGUCAGGGUUCCAGUUCUACGUAUUGUUUCCAGUAGAAAGGACAAGGUCCUUGACUAAUCAUUACAAAUUGGGGAUCAAAGCCCAGAGCGAUGUCCAACACAAAUAGGAUGAUAGCGUCAGAUCACAGGGAAAUGCCGGAAAGUCAGACGUCAUAAACCGCAUCACUUGUUGGUCAAUCACAGGUACUCGUUAAUGUCGGCAAACGUAUUUUGUCGUCCUCAAAGUGAACCGCGAGAUUUGGCUGAUUAUUUGUAGGAUGCUGAGUUAUUCUGGAUUGUCGGGAAUAUUAUUGCUCACCAUUCCCAAUUUUCACCUCAGUCCUUUGCUUUGAUUUUGAUUUAAAUCUGAACACACAUCCUUCUAUUUUGUGCGAUCCCUAUUAAGGCAUUGGCUUGGUGAAUUACAAUUUGGUGUAGAUGGCUGAAGAGCGUAAAGGCCCUUUCAGACUUAACUUGGCACACAACGCAGUGCACCAUUGACCAACAGCAUUCCGUGUGUACAGUACGUGCUGCCGCCGAGUUGCCCUGCCACAGCGGCAGGUCCGUCCGAAAUUAGGGUGCAACGCAAUGACGUCACAGCGACAUCUCUGCAAAUCCAGUAUGAGAGAUGGUGGCCGCCCGGAACCAUUUGCUCACUGUCCAUGUUUACCGCGCGGAUAUUUGUUGCAGUUUGAUGCAAUGUUAGACCAGUGAAAAACUUUGCCAAAACCGACAGCGGAGCGUCUGUAAGUGAUUCUUAAGGCACUAUUAGAUGUGUGAUGUACAUGUAACAUGAUGUAUGAGUGAGCAGAAUAUUAGUUAGCAUUUUUAUUUAUUAUUUUUACAUAUAAUGGUAAUCGCGAGCACGCUAAUGCUGAUCGCGAAUGCUAACCGUUUAGCAAAGGCAGAUUUUGUUGUCUCAAAUUCUGUACAAUGUUUAUACCAUACAGUCAGUACCAACAUAUGCAGUUUAAGGAUAGAAGUCCAGCCCAAAGAAAUAAAAUGCAUUUUAGUAAUAAAAAAAUAUAUAUAUAUAUUUGCGGGGGGG
Phyllopteryx taeniolatus (common seadragon) is the source of this 2357-nucleotide long non-coding RNA. RefSeq lists it as uncharacterized. The transcript has 3 exons. Lineage: Eukaryota; Metazoa; Chordata; Actinopteri; Syngnathiformes; Syngnathidae. The record is from RefSeq and is a predicted model, not a curated record.